AUGGAGACGGGGCAAAAUACAAAGGGAUGUGGUUCAUGGGCAUUUUGCCCACUAAAACUGAUGAUUGGUUCUCCAUCUUCUUCUAUAAUCAAAUGGGAGUUUCUAGGCAGAGCCCGGGCAGCUGCCCAGGGUCGCCGGGAGGUGGCUCCGCCACUGGUACCAAUGAAAAGUUUUUAUUUGAUCAGACUUGUUAAGUUUUUACUGAAUUUUAAUCAGAUUGCUGUAACAGCUCCUUCUGUUCUUGUUAUGUGCUGCUUUGUUUUGAUUCGAUCUGUUGCGCAAGCUCGCGUUUCUCUGUAA
This 300-nucleotide ribosomal RNA is filed under the name Triticum aestivum (bread wheat). RNAcentral describes it as "partial small subunit ribosomal RNA". Lineage: Eukaryota; Viridiplantae; Streptophyta; Magnoliopsida; Poales; Poaceae. The record is from RNAcentral.